AGUGAACGCUGGCGGUAGGCCUAACACAUGCAAGUCGAACGGCAGCACAGUAAGAGCUUGCUCUUACGGGUGGCGAGUGGCGGACGGGUGAGGAAUACAUCGGAAUCUACUUUUUCGUGGGGGAUAACGUAGGGAAACUUACGCUAAUACCGCAUACGACCUACGGGUGAAAGCAGGGGAUCUUCGGACCUUGCGCGAUUGAAUGAGCCGAUGUCGGAUUAGCUAGUUGGCGGGGUAAGGGCCCACCAAGGCGACGAUCCGCAGCUGGUCUGAGAGGAUGAUCAGCCACACUGGAACUGAGACACGGUCCAGACUCCUACGGGAGGCAGCAGUGGGGAAUAUUGGACAAUGGGCGCAAGCCUGAUCCAGCCAUACCGCGUGGGUGAAGAAGGCCUUCGGGUUGUAAAGCCCUUUUGUUGGGAAAGAAAAGCAGCAGGUUAAUACCCCGCUGUUCUGACGGUACCCAAAGAAUAAGCACCGGCUAACUUCGUG
RNAcentral lists this ribosomal RNA (492 nucleotides) under uncultured bacterium. RNAcentral describes it as "partial 16S ribosomal RNA". It matches the Rfam family "Bacterial small subunit ribosomal RNA", at positions 29 to 507 of the family's 1533-position model. The record is from RNAcentral.